This 77-nucleotide transfer RNA is filed under the name Mycoplasmoidaceae bacterium. RNAcentral's name for it is "tRNA-Pro". It matches the Rfam family "tRNA". Rfam says of the family: Transfer RNA (tRNA) molecules are approximately 80 nucleotides in length. Their secondary structure includes four short double-helical elements and three loops (D, anti-codon, and T loops). The record is from RNAcentral. Lineage: Bacteria; Bacillati; Mycoplasmatota; Mycoplasmoidales; Mycoplasmoidaceae.
CGGGAAGUGGCUUAGCUUGGUAUAGCGCCUGGUUUGGGACCAGGAGGUCGCAGGUUCAAAUCCUGUCUUCCCGACCA